GAUGAACGCUGGCGGCGUGCCUAAUACAUGCAAGUCGAGCGAGCGGACGAGAAGCUUGCUUCUCUGAUGUUAGCGGCGGACGGGUGAGUAGCACGUGGAUAACCUACCUAUAAGACUGGGAUAACUUCGGGAAACCGGAGCUAAUACCGGAUAAUAUUUUGAACCGCAUGGUUCAAAAGUGAAAGACGGUCUUGCUGUCACUUAUAGAUGGAUCCGCGCUGCAUUAGCUAGUUGGUAAGGUAACGGCUUACCAAGGCAACGAUGCAUAGCCGACCUGAGAGGGUGAUCGGCCACACUGGAACUGAGACACGGUCCAGACUCCUACGGGAGGCAGCAGUAGGGAAUCUUCCGCAAUGGGCGAAAGCCUGACGGAGCAACGCCGCGUGAGUGAUGAAGGUCUUCGGAUCGUAAAACUCUGUUAUUAGGGAAGAACAUAUGUGUAAGUAACUGUGCACAUCUUGACGGUACCUAAUCAGAAAGCCACGGCUAACUACGUG
RNAcentral lists this ribosomal RNA (497 nucleotides) under uncultured bacterium. Its description in RNAcentral is "partial 16S ribosomal RNA". It matches the Rfam family "Bacterial small subunit ribosomal RNA", at positions 28 to 507 of the family's 1533-position model. The record is from RNAcentral.